This 786-nucleotide ribosomal RNA is filed under the name uncultured archaeon. RNAcentral describes it as "bacterial SSU rRNA". It matches the Rfam family "Archaeal small subunit ribosomal RNA", at positions 85 to 876 of the family's 1478-position model. The record is from RNAcentral.
ACUGCUCAGUAACACGUGGAUAACCUGCCCUAGGGAAGGGGAUAACCCCGGGAAACUGGGGAUAAUACCCUAUAGAUUACAGAUGCUGGAAUGCCCUGUAAUCCAAAGUUCCGACGCCCUAGGAUGGAUCUGCGGCCGAUUAGGUUGUUGUUGGGGUAAUGGCCCAACAAGCCCGUAAUCGGUACGGGUUGUGGGAGCAAGAGCCCGGAGUUGGAUUCUGAGACACGAAUCCAGGCCCUACGGGGCGCAGCAGGCGCGAAAACUUUACAAUGCGGGCAACCGUGAUAAGGGAACCUCGAGUGCCUGUAAAUGCAGGCUGUUCAGGUGCCUAAAACACACCUGAAGAAAGGGCCGGGCAAGACCGGUGCCAGCCGCCGCGGUAAUACCGGCGGCUCGAGUGGUGGCCGCUUUUAUUGGGCUUAAAGCGUUCGUAGCUGGGUUGUUAAGUCUCUUGGGAAAUCUGGCGGCUUAACCGUCAGGCGUCUAAGGGAUACUGGCAAUCUUGGAACCGGGAGAGGUGAGGGGUACUUCGGGGGUAGGAGUGAAAUCCUGUAAUCCUCGAGGGACCACCUGUGGCGAAGGCGCCUCACCAGAACGGCUUCGACAGUGAGGGACGAAAGCUGGGGGAGCAAACCGGAUUAGAUACCCGGGUAGUCCCAGCCGUAAACUAUGCGCGUUAGGUGUAUCGGUGACCACGAGUUACCGAGGUGCCGAAGGGAAACCGUGAAACGUGCCGCCUGGGAAGUACGGUCGCAAGGCUGAAACUUAAAGGAAUUGGCGGGGGAG